This 253-nucleotide ribosomal RNA is filed under the name uncultured bacterium. Its description in RNAcentral is "partial 16S ribosomal RNA". It matches the Rfam family "Bacterial small subunit ribosomal RNA", at positions 524 to 776 of the family's 1533-position model. The record is from RNAcentral.
UACGUAGGGUGCGAGCGUUAAUCGGAAUUACUGGGCGUAAAGCGUGCGCAGGCGGUUUUGUAAGACAGAUGUGAAAUCCCCGGGCUUAACCUGGGACCUGCAUUUGUGACUGCAAGGCUAGAGUACGGUAGAGGGGGAUGGAAUUCCGCGUGUAGCAGUGAAAUGCGUAGAUAUGCGGAGGAAUACCGAUGGCGAAGGCAGCCCCCUGGGUCGACACUGACGCUCAUGCACGAAAGCGUGGGGAGCAAACAGG